UCGAGCGGACAGAAGGGAGCUUGCUCCCGGAUGUUAGCGGCGGACGGGUGAGUAACACGUGGGUAACCUGCCUGUAAGACUGGGAUAACUCCGGGAAACCGGAGCUAAUACCGGAUAGUUCCUUGAACCGCAUGGUUCAAGGAUGAAAGACGGUUUCGGCUGUCACUUACAGAUGGACCCGCGGCGCAUUAGCUAGUUGGUGAGGUAACGGCUCACCAAGGCGACGAUGCGUAGCCGACCUGAGAGGGUGAUCGGCCACACUGGGACUGAGACACGGCCCAGACUCCUACGGGAGGCAGCAGUAGGGAAUCUUCCGCAAUGGACGAAAGUCUGACGGAGCAACGCCGCGUGAGUGAUGAAGGUUUUCGGAUCGUAAAGCUCUGUUGUUAGGGAAGAACAAGUGCAAGAGUAACUGCUUGCACCUUGACGGUACCUAACCAGAAAGCCACGGCUAACUACGUGCCAGCAGCCGCGGUAAUACGUAGGUGGCAAGCGUUGUCCGGAAUUAUUGGGCGUAAAGGGCUCGCAGGCGGUUUCUUAAGUCUGAUGUGAAAGCCCCCGGCUCAACCGGGGAGGGUCAUUGGAAACUGGGAAACUUGAGUGCAGAAGAGGAGAGUGGAAUUCCACGUGUAGCGGUGAAAUGCGUAGAGAUGUGGAGGAACACCAGUGGCGAAGGCGACUCUCUGGUCUGUAACUGACGCUGAGGAGCGAAAGCGUGGGGAGCGAACAGGAUUAGAUACCCUGGUAGUCCACGCCGUAAACGAUGAGUGCUAAGUGUUAGGGGGUUUCCGCCCCUUAGUGCUGCAGCUAACGCAUUAAGCACUCCGCCUGGGGAGUACGGUCGCAAGACUGAAACUCAAAGGAAUUGACGGGGGCCCGCACAAGCGGUGGAGCAUGUGGUUUAAUUCRAAGCAACGCGAAGAACCUUACCAGGUCUUGACAUCCUCUGACAACCCUAGAGAUAGGGCUUUCCCUUCGGGGACAGAGUGACAGGUGGUGCAUGGUUGUCGUCAGCUCGUGUCGUGAGAUGUUGGGUUAAGUCCCGCAACGAGCGCAACCCUUGAUCUUAGUUGCCAGCAUUCAGUUGGGCACUCUAAGGUGACUGCCGGUGACAAACCGGAGGAAGGUGGGGAUGACGUCAAAUCAUCAUGCCCCUUAUGACCUGGGCUACACACGUGCUACAAUGGACAGAACAAAGGGCUGCGAGACCGCAAGGUUUAGCCAAUCCCACAAAUCUGUUCUCAGUUCGGAUCGCAGUCUGCAACUCGACUGCGUGAAGCUGGAAUCGCUAGUAAUCGCAG
Molecule: ribosomal RNA, 1301 nt
Filed under: Bacillus altitudinis
Lineage: Bacteria; Bacillati; Bacillota; Bacilli; Caryophanales; Bacillaceae
Description: bacterial SSU rRNA
Rfam family: Bacterial small subunit ribosomal RNA
Source: RNAcentral